This 447-nucleotide ribosomal RNA is filed under the name uncultured bacterium. RNAcentral describes it as "bacterial SSU rRNA". It matches the Rfam family "Bacterial small subunit ribosomal RNA", at positions 328 to 792 of the family's 1533-position model. The record is from RNAcentral.
AAGCCAGACUCCUACGGGAGGCAGCAGUGGGGGAUAUUGCACAAUGGGGGGAACCCUGAUGCAGCGACGCCGCGUGGGUGAAGGAGCGUUUCGGCGCGUAAAGCCCUAUCGGCAGGGAAGAAGGAGGACGGUACCUGACUAAGAAGCCCCGGCUAACUACGUGCCAGCAGCCGCGGUAAUACGUAGGGGGCAAGCGUUAUCCGGAUUUACUGGGUGUAAAGGGGGCGCAGACGGCAGCGCAAGCCAGGAGUGAAAGCCCGGGGCCCAACCCCGGGACUGCUCUUGGAACUGCGCGGCUGGAGUGCAGGAGGGGCAGGCGGAAUUCCUGGUGUAGCGGUGAAAUGCGUAGAUAUCAGGAGGAACACCGGUGGCGAAGGCGGCCUGCUGGACUGCGACUGACGUUGAGGCCCGAAAGCGUGGGAGCAAACAGGAUUAGAUACCCGCGUA